RNAcentral lists this unclassified non-coding RNA (134 nucleotides) under uncultured fungus. RNAcentral's name for it is "sequence contains ITS1". Lineage: Eukaryota; Fungi. The record is from RNAcentral.
UUAUUUGUUAUAGGUUACUACGUUCGUGACGUUCAAUGUUUGUAAAGGCCCGAGGGCCACGGUUCACAGAGGUUGGUCGGAUAAGCCCCGAGGGGCGUUCACUAAUGAUCCUUCCGCAGGUUCACCUACGGAAA